UCCUGCAUAUUGUCAAGCUGAGCCCCAGCAAAGCUCUGCUACGUCAGCUGCUGGACCUUGUGUGUGAGGGGAUUGAAGAGGGGGUGCUGAGGCACGCAGAGUCCCUGUGCAGAGCCCUGGAUGGAGAGCUGGACCUCAGUGAGACCAGGCUGGACCAGAAGGCCUGUGGAUCUCUGGCCCUGGUUCUGGAACACUCAGAGGGGCUGUCAGAACUGGACCUCAGCCACUGUCAACUCACAGACCACCACCUACAGGCCCUGAUCACACACCUGCACAAAGUACAAGUCCUGGACCUGAGUCAUAAUGACAUCACUGAUGCUCUGACUGACAGAAUACUCCAACUGGUCUCCACCAACACUUCAAUACACACCGUACGACUCUUCAACAACAGAAUCCAGGACAGAAGACCCUUCCUGACAGACAAGAGGUUUGAGAUCUGGUGAACAUAAUGUUGUAUAAUGACAGUAUAAUGUGGUCAAUGUAGAAGGCUGGUUUGAGAUCUGGUGAAGAUAAUGUUGUAUAAUGACAGUAUAAUGUGGUCAAUGUAUAUAAAAGGCUGUUUCAAAAUCACAUAAAAAUAGUCUUAGGGACAGGAAUGUAUCAUCUGGUGGACAGACGUCUUACAUGUGUUGUCACUCAGGUCCUUAAAAACACAGGAACAUGUGUAUUAUAACCGUAGGAUAGGAAUAUGUAGUUUUAUUUACCACUAACAGUUGAUACGUCUGUACUGUCAUUAAGAUCCUUAAAAACACAGGAACAUGUGUAUUAUAACUGUAGGAUAGGAAUAUGUAGUUUUAUUUACCACUAACAGUUGAUACGUCUGUACUGUCAUUAAGAUCCUUAAAAACACAGGAACAUGUGUAUUAUAACUGUUUUGUAUGUAUUGAACUACCUUUACUUUGUUGAAGCACCUUCAAUUUUGA
Long non-coding RNA from Coregonus clupeaformis (lake whitefish), 923 nucleotides. RefSeq lists it as uncharacterized. NCBI's taxonomy places the organism in Eukaryota, Metazoa, Chordata, Actinopteri, Salmoniformes, Salmonidae. The record is from RefSeq and is a predicted model, not a curated record. The transcript is spliced from 4 exons.